CCCUGCCUCUAAUCCUCUGAAUCCCCUUUCUCUAGGCUGGGCUGGUUUCUUGUGUGGAUGCCAUGUACACCAUCGUGUGGGGUCAGAGCCCUCUGAGAGGAGCCCAGCCUUCCUCCCUCCUCAUUCCCCUGUCUUCAUUCCAGAGAGAAGGGUUGGGGAAUUUCUGAAUAACCGCCCCCAGCUCCUCAAGAGGGCCCUAGUUUCCACACUAUUCUCUAGGUCCUUGUCCACUUCUGGACUCUUCCCUGUGACUCAGGGCCUAGACUCUCUGGGAAUGGAGAGGAGAGGAAUGUGGCACAAGGGAGCUGACUUCGGGGCUAUUUCUGACUCUGGAGUCAUCAGCUGCUCAGUCACAGACGAGGGUGGCAGUGAGGUAGGGGUAUCACAUUUGCCUCCUCUUUUGCUCCCUGGAAGAGCCUGAGGGACCUGGUGGGCUUCAGAGAUGCGGGCACUUGGACCGGUAUGGAGGGAAGUUGGGGAACACCCACAGCUCAUACGGAAGAGGCUUCCUGGGUACCAGGGAUCAAACUCAGGACCUUGUGCUUUCGAGGCAGGCAUCGUCGGCACCACUGAGCUAAAUCCCUGGCCCCUGUUUAUUUAUUUUUUUGAAACAGAGUCUCACUAUGUGGUUCAGCCUGGCCUUGAACUCAUUGUGUAGCCCAGGCUGGCCUCGAAUUCACAGCAGAGGCUAUUUAAAUAAUACCGAAGUAAAAUGAAAUAGUCUGUUCCUCUGUUAUACUACCACAUUUUAGGUGUUCUGUAGAGAUGUGUGGCUAGAAACUACUAUAUUGGACAGUUCAGAUUUCCAUCACUGCAGAAGUUUCUGCAGGAUAAUGCUAUUAUAGACACUAAAACUUUUAUGUACAGUGCUUCUCUUUUUGUCUUUGCUAACAGAAAGCUCCAAGCCAAAUCUCUAGGUUUCCAGCAAAAAGACUUUACGGCUUGCAUCCUAUGGAAUGAGAAUGACUAAAUCAUCUCAGCUGUCUCAGAAGAGUUCCCCAGAACAAGGGACUUUCAGUUUUGUUUUGUUUUGUUUGGUACUGGGAAUUGAACUCAGGGCCUCGAAUUUGCCAGGCAGGUGCUGCACUACUGAGCUAUAUCCUGGGCUCAGACUUUCAGGGGU
This 1123-nucleotide long non-coding RNA is filed under the name Heterocephalus glaber (naked mole-rat). RNAcentral describes it as "lncRNA (ENSHGLG00000046930.1)". Lineage: Eukaryota; Metazoa; Chordata; Mammalia; Rodentia; Bathyergidae. The record is from RNAcentral.